AGUCGAGCGAAGCGCUUACGACAGAACCUUCGGGGGAAGAUGUAAGGGACUGAGCGGCGGACGGGUGAGUAACGCGUGGGUAACCUGCCUCAUACAGGGGGAUAACAGUUGGAAACGGCUGCUAAUACCGCAUAAGCGCACAGUACCGCAUGGUACGGUGUGAAAAACUCCGGUGGUAUGAGAUGGACCCGCGUCUGAUUAGCUAGUUGGAGGGGUAACGGCCCACCAAGGCAACGAUCAGUAGCCGGCCUGAGAGGGUGAACGGCCACAUUGGGACUGAGACACGGCCCAGACUCCUACGGGAGGCAGCAGUGGGGAAUAUUGCACAAUGGGGGAAACCCUGAUGCAGCGACGCCGCGUGAAGGAAGAAGUAUCUCGGUAUGUAAACUUCUAUCAGCAGGGAAGAAAAUGACGGUACCUGACUAAGAAGCCCCGGCUAACUACGUGCCAGCAGCCGCGGUAAUACGUAGGGGGCAAGCGUUAUCCGGAUUUACUGGGUGUAAAGGGAGCGUAGACGGAAGAGCAAGUCUGAUGUGAAAGGCUGGGGCUUAACCCCAGGACUGCAUUGGAAACUGUUUUUCUUGAGUGCCGGAGAGGUAAGCGGAAUUCCUAGUGUAGCGGUGAAAUGCGUAGAUAUUAGGAGGAACACCAGUGGCGAAGGCGGCUUACUGGACGGUAACUGACGUUG
This 688-nucleotide ribosomal RNA is filed under the name uncultured Lachnospiraceae bacterium. RNAcentral's name for it is "bacterial SSU rRNA". It matches the Rfam family "Bacterial small subunit ribosomal RNA", at positions 60 to 748 of the family's 1533-position model. The record is from RNAcentral. Lineage: Bacteria; Bacillati; Bacillota; Clostridia; Lachnospirales; Lachnospiraceae.